Molecule: ribosomal RNA, 253 nt
Filed under: uncultured bacterium
Lineage: Bacteria
Description: partial 16S ribosomal RNA
Rfam family: Bacterial small subunit ribosomal RNA
Source: RNAcentral
UACGUAGGGGGCAAGCGUUGUCCGGAAUCAUUGGGCGUAAAGAGCGUGUAGGCGGCCUGAUAAGUCCGCUGUGAAAGUCCAGGGCUCAACCCUGGGAUGCCGGUCGAUACUGCCGGACUAGAGUUCGGAAGAGGCGAGUGGAAUUCCCGGUGUAGCGGUGAAAUGCGCAGAUAUCGGGAGGAACACCAAUGGCGAAGGCAGCUCGCUGGGACGUUACUGACGCUGAGACGCGAAAGCGUGGGGAGCAAACAGG